This 23963-nucleotide long non-coding RNA is filed under the name Fragaria vesca (wild strawberry). RNAcentral describes it as "long non-coding RNA (FVES_LNC000180)". The record is from RNAcentral. Lineage: Eukaryota; Viridiplantae; Streptophyta; Magnoliopsida; Rosales; Rosaceae.
UUUUUUUUUUUUUUCUUUUUCUUUUUUGAGGUGGACAAGAAUCGCCACGUGUCGGUGCACGAUUGGGUGGUCGCAUGAGACACCUGGUACGGUUGUCGCAGAGAAAAUUUUCUCUUAAUAAGAACGAGACCUACGUCUAUUUAAGCGAUACAAUGGCAACACUUGUAUCAAGCACGUCUGCUGUCCGCUUCUUCAUUUUGUGAAGGGACCGGAUAUAUUAAUACAGUAUAAACAAGGGUGCCCGCCAAACGGUGCUCUAAUCUAUAUAAGUAGUGCGUAAUUACCUCAAUGACUCCACAACCACAACUACCCAAAUGGCGGCCCAUUCAUCUGAGAUGCAGGUAUCACCGCCUGAUGAUCUUCGUGAUCAUGAGGCUAGGCUAGAAGAGGCCAUUCCGGAAGCUACCGGAGGCGAUGAAUGUUUGGAAGGCAUGGAGCUUGCUGUAUACAAUGCCGCAAAACAAGGCGACAUUGUUGCCCUUUCGAAUUCAGAACAUAGGGAUCAUCUUCACCAAAUAUUGACUCCAACUGGAAACACAAUCCUCCAUAUCUACAUAGCAUGUGCAACGUCAUUCGAUCUCAAAGAAGUGAGCAAAUCAGCCAUCGGCGUCGAGAAGAUUCUUCAAAUGUGUCCACCACUACUGCUGCAGUCCAACAAGAUCGGCGACACUGCAUUACACAUUGCGGCAAGAUACGGAUGCACUGCUAUAGUUGAAAUGAUUUUGCAGAUUGGCAAAAAAAAUCGUGACGAAGGAGAGGGAGCUUGGCCGAGAAUCAUCAGCAAAAAAAAUAAGGAGGGAAACACAGCCUUGCACGAGGCCGUGCGGUUUAAUCACUUUGAUGUGGUGAAGAUGUUGUCGUUGACCACACAAGAUGUUCAUGAGCAGAUUUCCUACUCUGCUAAUGUCGCCGAAGAGACUCCUCUAUACAUGGCUGCCGAAAGGGGAUAUCGUGAUGUGGUUUUUCAAAUCCUACUAAGUUGCACAGAUCCAGCUUACCAAGGCCCCAAUGGUAGAACUGCUCUACAUGCUGCAGUCAUACGCAACCAUAAAGGUUAGAGACUUUUCUUUUUCUUCUGUGAUUACAUAAAUUGGAAGACUACCAUGAGUCCAUGAGUCCAAUUUCAUGCUCGCCACUUACUUGAAAGUGUUUUAAACUUUCAUCUCAAAAAAAAGAAAGUGUUUUAAACUUACAUUAAUCCCACUUAGUUAUUCUAUUUUUGUUAUCUGUCGAUCUUUCUAAUUAAUGAACAUCGUAUAUUUGUUUUCAUCAUUUAAUAAAGUUCAUUGGUUAUAUUAAUUCACCAUUUAAAAUCUAAAAAAAUUAAAAUGGUAAAAUUGGUAAUGCAAUAGAUACUAUGCUUUGACAAUAUAUAUUAUGUUGAAUUGAAACAAAUAUUUUUAUUAUAGAGAAAUACCAUAUCAGUGCCCAUGACCAAUAUAUCCACUGUGCCACAUUAAUUAUAUAUAUUUUUGAUAUUGAUAGUGUUCUUAUUGUAAGUGGCUCCCACUUCCAAGUAAUUCCACACGAAUCACUGGUAUGGUAUUUAUUGUCAUGGGACAAUAAUUUUCCUAUAAAUUUACCCAUUGUUGAAAUGCACUUGGAAAAGAAAUCGUCUACAUACCGUAGCUAGAUAUAAGAUGAAAGAGAAUUGUUGCUAGCUAGCUACUUGAGAAGUUCUUGUUAGUUGAUUAUAUCUAUUUAAUUAUUAAUUGUCUUUUCUUUUUUGUGCAUGGUUAUUAAGAGAUGACGAAGAAGUUACUAGAACGUAUAAGGGGUCUAACAAAAGCAGUAGAUGAACAAGGAUGUACUCCGCUUCACCUUGCUGCGUCCUUGGGUCACACUUCAAUUGUAAAACUAUUACUCAAACAUGACAGAUCUGCUGCCUACGUUAAGGAGAAAGAGGAGAAGAAGACGGCUCUUCACUUUGCAGCAAUGAAAGGCCAUGUACAUGUAAUGAAACAACUAAUAUCCCAGUGUCCUGAUUGUUGCGAAUUGGUGGACAAGAAUUCUCGCAAUUUCCUACACUGCAGUAUCCUCGCCGAUAAAGAAAUUAGUGUAGUGUAUUUCGUGCUAGAAGAUCCAUGGCUUAGCAACAUCCUCCUAAAUGGCAAGGACGACAAUGGAGACACACCCCUCCACUAUCUUGCUGAUACUUGUUGCGACCACACUUUUGGUGACGGUUUAGUAAUAGAUGCUAGAGUUGAUAAGAUGACAUUCAACAAAGCAAAUCAAAACGCUCUUGAUAUUCUUCUACAAAUUACACAAAUUAAAAGAUACUCUUUGAUCUUAACAAAACAGGUCACUUUUUUAUUUUGACUACUUUAAUCAAGUAUAUAACGUAGUAAGUUGAAGUUAUUUAUAGUUUUCAAUAAAAAUACUAAUCUUAUAUAUGUGUGUGUUACAGGGCCAACUGAAAGAAAAAUUAAAAAUGAAUGGUGUCAUACCAGGCUGUCGACAUGUAAGGGACAAAGAGGAGGUACCGGUUGAGAAUAAAGAAAAGGAAAAACCAAGUGAAGACGAAUACAGGGAAGUGAAGGAGACCCAUCUUCACACACUUUAAUCAAGCUGCUCUAGCCAAAUUGGGUUGGAAAAUCCUAACUGAACCUCAAAACUGGUGGGUUUCUUUAAUUCGUGCCAAAUAUCUGCAAAGAAAAACCUUCUGGGAUGUUAAACCAACUAAUAAUGCUUCUUAUGCUUGGAAGAGUAUUCUUUCUACCAGAUCCUUGUUACAAGAAGGUAUUCAAUGGUUAGUUGGUGAUGGUUCUCAUAUCAAUUUCUGGCUUUUUAAUUGGGCUUAUCCCUUUUCUCUCAUUAUUUUUGUUCCCCAACAUCUACAUCCUCAUGUCAAUUUCACUGACACAGUAGCUCAGUUCAUACAUAACCAACAAUGGUCCCUUUCAAGACUUCAUCACCUUCUUCCUCCUGAAGUUAUUUCUCAUAUUUCUAAAAUUCCUCUUCCUUUCUUUCCUCAGCAUGAUUCCAUGGUAUGGGGAGCUUCGGGGAAUGGAAAAUUUUCAAUUCAUUCCGCUUCUAGUCUUCUGAGUUCUCGAAUUCCUCCUCACUCUCAAACUCCCCUCCUCACUAAAGUUUGGAAACUUAAAAUUCCUCCAAAAGUCAAAGUUUUUGCAUGGCAGCUUAUUCGAAAUAGACUCUCUACAAAAGAUAGAAUUUUUACUAACCAAUUCAUAGAUCGUUCUUGUCCUUUUUGCCACUCUCACUUAGAAACCACUGAUCACAUUUUCCUUCAUUGUCACUUUGCUUCUCAAGUCUGGAACCUCACUUUUCCUUCAAUCCCCUCAUUACAAUUUCCUUCCUUCCUCCACCUUCUUAAACAUCUAAACAAUCUUUCCAAUACACAACUUCCUUUUCUUGAAAUUGCCUUAACUACGGCCUACAUCCUUUGGAAACAGAGAAACUCUGCCAUUUUUCGUAACCAAGCUCCUGCCCCUCCCAAUGUUGUCUUCUCAGCUGCCAAUCUUUUUAAACAAUUCCGAAAUUGUCACCUUACCAAUUCUCAUAAUAAUUUCUUUUCCACAACUGUUUUCAAAUGGUAUCCUCCUCCUCCAAAUUGCCUCAAACUUAACUUUGAUGGAUCGGUUAUUAACCAUAUAUUCAGCAGCUUCUGGAUUUGUCUUUCGGAAUUCUGAAGGCAAUCCAAUCCUGGCUUCCACGAAACAUGUUGGAGAUCAAGACAUCCUCACAGCUGAAACGUUAGCCUUAAGAGCCGGUCUCACUGGAGCCUGGUAUCAUAAUUUCACUCAUUUUCAGGUUGAAGGAGACUCCAAAACUCUCAUUGACAGUAUUAAUGGAACAAGGACGUGCCCUUGGAGAAUUCUCACAAUUGUACGAGAUAUUAAACACCUUGCUUCGCUUCUCCAAGUCUCUUCUAUCUGCCAUAUCAAGAGGGAACAAAAUUUUGUGGCAGACGCAAUAGCAAAACUUGGUCAUACCAUUUCUGUAAAGGCUUGGAAUGCUUCUCUUCCCUUAUCAGCCAGUUCAGCUUUUUAUUUUGAUCUUAUAGGAAACGGUUGUUUUAGGGGUUUCCAGUUGUAAUUUAUUUCCAUCCAGUCAAAAAAAAAGUGAAGGAGACCCAUCUCCUAGUGGCUACACUUAUAACAACUGUAAGUUUCGCAGCAGGUUUUACGAUGCCUGGUGGUUACCAAAGUGAUGCUACAUCACCAAACCAAGGUUCUGCAACUCUAGCCAGAAAUGAAUCUUUCCAAAUUUUUGUUGUAACGAAUACCAUGGCCAUGACUUUGUCUACUUGCUCUGUAUUGCUGCAAUUUUAUUCGCUUGCGUUUCCAAGGACUGGGAUCCUCUCCUCAUAUUUCUCUGCUCAUACUUCCUCAUAAAUGAAUCUGAGCCAUCCAAUCUUAAUGGAUGGCCAGGAUUUCUCUGGCUUUAUUCCCUCAAAUUUCAGACCCAGAGUAUAAACCCAGGAGUAGGUUGAUAUGAACCCAGAAGUAGGGUGAUCAAUUUUGGGUUGAUAUUGGUACCGGCGACGAUACCAAAAUGAUGAAAGUUCUCAUUGCGAAGGAACACUUUGAAUAUAACUAAAUUUAACACACGGCUAAAUUUUUGCACAAAGUGAGGCCAAGUUUCAACUGCCCAUCUAUUUCCAUUCUUCCCUCUUGCAUUGCUCAUAUUUCUAGAACGUAUCUAUUCGAUCUUUGAUCAAUAUCCUUCAUCUUGACUGAACUACUUGGCUUUAAAUUUUUUCUUUUAGUUUUAACUCUCACUCCCAAAUAAAAUAUUUCUUAUCACAAAUCAUAUAUAGCUUCAGUUGCAGCAUAUUAGCAACUAAUUAUAACAAGCUGGGAUCUCUCAUAUCAUGAUUUCCAUAACACUACAAGAACCAGUCUUUCUCACAAAACAUAAACCCAGUAACAUGCAAAGAACAUUGCUUUUUCCAUCGCUGAAGACAAAAGCGAAGACCCAUCAACGAGACCUUCUUGCUUCUCUCUCAUACUCGAGCAGGAUGAGGAUGUCGCUCUACCUGACCGGUUCCUUGAGGUUUCUCAUGAUUAACCGGUUCUGGUCGUCGUGACGGCUGCGACAACAGACGAUCCUCGAGACCCGUCAACGCAUCCUUCUUUCUCUUUCGGCUGCUGAUUCGAUUCGAACAACAGAGAGGUAGUAAAAGUGUAAAACUAUAUGCAAUAGGAAUUAUGGAGCGAAAGAUAUCAGCUUUGGGGUUGGGGGUGAGAGAGGGAAGAGAGAGAUGAGAGGAGAUCGGCGAUCAGAAAUCUAUACGAGAAUUUGGGAAGAAGAUAGACUAAUCACCUUAAAGAAUGUAAGAUAAAUCCUGACCAUCUAUUAAGAUUGGAUGGUUCAGAUUUAUUUAUGAGGAAGUAUGAGCAGAGAAUUAUGAGAAGAGGAUCCCGAUCCCGUUUCCAAAGCGGCUAAGGCUGGAUAAGGGGAAUCUUUAUCUUUAUCUGUUGACCAUGUGGGCUUUGAUGUUAAUGGUGGUUGCGUUUCUUUCGGGUACAUAUGCAGUACUGGAUCCUAAUCCAAGGCUUGCAGAAACGGUUUAUUGGCUUGGCCUCAUUUUAUUCUUUGGCGUAGUUGAAUUCAUGUUUUAUGAUCAAAGAGAAUUAAUGAAUGCUACAUUCGGUCCCUUUAUUUGGCUGGCGACGAAGAUGUUUUAUGGUAUCCGCAAAUUAUACAAAUGUCUCCGGCCGGUCUCCGCUGCAUCAAAAGGAAAGCGGUCAAAGCCCAUGGUUCCUACCCGUAGUACCAUCGAUGAGAUGGACAGACAAAUGAUUGUAUAAAGGAAAACUAUGUUGCUUCUCAUGAGUGGCCUGAUAGGGUGAAAUGGGAGUCAUAUUGGUAUGUACUAUGCAGAGUCGUUAAUUACUUUGUUUUUCCCAAGUACAACAAGUUGUUGUUUAUUUAUUUGAGUCUGAAAUAACCUUGUAGCAAACAAAUGUUAUCUUUUCCGGGGGAUUGUCAGUUACAAGUUAAUAUCCUUCUUGCUCAUGAGUUCUUUCACCCCCUCCAAAAUUAUGCGUUUAGCUUAAAACUUGUACAUGAAUAAAUCAUGGCAGAGUGAGAUAUGGACAUGCUUGAGAUAUGUGGCAAGCACUGAAAGUGAGACUGCCCAACUAUCUCAAGCAUCCCCACGCGUUCUUACAAUUACAAAACCUUGGCCUUGGGAAAAUGCCAUGCUUACCAAAUGAGAUUACAACUAUAUCCUACUUCACUAAUCAAAGCAUAUAUGUGCGUGAAUCAACAGCAUCAAACCAAUUUCAAGAGACCAAUCAAUCAUGUAACUUGAGUGGUACAGCCAUCGUCACUUAGGUUUUCCAAUGGCUAUGAACAAGCAUCAUAAUGAUUGAAUUUGACCCCCAUACCCAUAAUUCUUCAAGAGCCCCUCAUCUUGCCGCCAAUUCUCUUUAACCUUCACCUCAACCUGUUAAAAGAAGGGACUUAAAAGAAUGAGCAAGUCUUGAAAAACUAUCAGAACUAAAACAUAAUAAUUUAGACAGUGGUCAUGGGAUGAUAUGACACCUCUAGAAAAACUUUUUUCUGUAAGGAAAUCUUCUAUGUCAAGCCGUGAAGUUGUUGCAAGUAGUUUCAAAGCUCUCCCAUCCUACAACGGUUCAGUACAAGACAAUCAGUAAGUGAACUUUUGCUUCCAACUGUGAUGGCACAUCAAAGCUCUAUAGUUUCGCAAGAUACAUGCCUUUACGCUCACGUACAUGUUCCAGAGUAAGUCUUUGAUCAAGACAAAUAUAACAGAGAUGUAUUUAUACAGUGUGCAAAGCGCAUAUGAACAUGUUAUUCCGUAAUAGCUAAUAAGUUUACAACCCUCCUAUAACCAUAGCAAAAGGCUUCCAAAACUAAUAAUAAGAGCAUUAUAUACAUCAGAUAGCCAUAAAUUUCUAUCAAGCAAACCAACAAAUCCACAAUUAAGGAUUACUUACUUUUCCGAUAAGGAUGAUUUUCUGUGAAUUUUUCUCAACAACUAUUUCCACUUGUAUAAAAAAUCUUUUGCUGCUGGCCUACUUUUGUAGCUCACGACAUUCACCUGGAUAUUAAACCAAGUGAGGGUAAAGAUUAAAGCUACUAGAGAUACUACCAUCUUCUUUUUUCCUUUAAUAUUUUGUUUUCUUCAUUCCUCACAAAUCAUAUCUUCUUAGCUUCUCAAUGACUCACCUGACAUGCAUAAGGAAUCUCUUUCCUGUAUUGCAUAAAGAUCUUUUCUCUCACAAUCUCUGAUACAAAAAAUCUCUCCGGGUGCUCACUUAUGAUGUCCUGAGGAAGCAUACACAAGAAAAUCAGUACUUUUCCUCUAAUUAUUUAUCAGCAAAACACACCAACCCAUCCACAUUAUAACCCGCUCGAACAAGACCAGUGAUAACAGUAGUUCACGACACCACAUAUCAACAAGAGCACUCCCCACAAAGACCGAGUUCACAAAACCCGAUUUCACCGUAAGUCAACUCCUCACCAAGUCCGCACCCCUUGAGCGCAACGCUGAGAAGAAAAGGGUCCAUGCCGAUACCCAGCUGCACCCACAUGUUUGGAAAACAGCACCAAUGCUUCAGAGGAAUCAGAGACUCCAACGUAGGCUGAGAUCAUAUUGGUCCAUGUGACCUCGUCUCUAUUGGGCAUUUCAUCGAACACUUUCCGGGCAUGUUUGACUUCACCACCUUUGACGAGCUGCUUCAAUUGGGAGUUGAGUUCGGGAAUGUCUACGUGAUUAGGCUGAUGGGUUUUGUGAUAUAGAAGAAGAAGGCUUCUGCAUUGUGGAUGGGCAAAGGUUGAGCUCGUGAAUACCCUUCGAAAAUGAGGUCUGAUCGUUAAAACCGGACGGAACUAGGAAUGAAAACCGGGGUGGGCUACAUUUGCCUUAUGCAGAACAAAAUUUCUGCCCAAUUUCAAUUUAGCUUUGUCAAACCCUGUCCUGAAUCCCUGAUGCCCAAUCUGUUUCUAUUAUUCUAUAUCAGUAUUUUUCCUUAAAGCAUAACAGCAGAACAAAAUAUAGAUUCCAUGCAAAAAAAACAAGCAUUUUAGAGCUAUUUCCUGCAUACAGAAGAAAUAUGCUAAACGGCAGUGAAAAUUCUAAGCCAACACUUGAAUCUUUUUGUUUGUUUGAUGAAACUGCAAAUAUAUUUCUUCAUAGAUAAAACCAUACUGUCAUACAUAAUACAUCCAAUUGGAAAACAGUAGUAAUGAGACCACAAACUCAAAACAUCAUAUGAAAGCACACUGGUAAUUCCCCUACAUUCUAAAUUCCACAGCCAACACUUGACUUAUUAAUUCUGAAGUAUUACAUAUUAGAGAGAAAUAUAACCUAAUUCAUAAUCUCAAUUUGUCAGGAAAGCCCUAAAUAACAUAACCUAAUUCAUAAUCCCAAUUUGUCAACAGAGUUUCUAUUAGCUCAGAAAUAGAAACAAUACAUGGCAUUGUUUAAUCAAUAUAACCUAAUUAAGGCUUGGGCACUUCUCACUGGGAGUACAGCCCACCUAAUUCAUAAUCAAAGGAAGUUCCUAGAAAUUAAGAAGAAGAGUUUGCAAAGCAUAUGGAGAUUAGAGAGAGACAAAAGAUGAGAGGCAAUUUUGUAUUUUGAGCGAUGGUGUGCUAACAUGUACUGAAAUUUUUCUUCCCAAAAAAAUGAGGUGGGCUGGCCCACCCCUGGUUCCGUGCCAAACCAUGUUCUAAAUCAGUUCGUCGUCUCUAGCGGUCAACUAUAGUCUUUGCAUACAUCUUAACACGUGGGCUGCUAUAAACCGACACCAAUUUGGACAGGUGGACGGUCCACAGGAAAAAACAGAGCAAAAAAACCGAAUCCAAAUCAGAGAAACCAAACCCUAGAUCACGAUCCCAGCCACGGCCGAUCACGCACAAACCUUGAGCGAGACCACGGCAGCCCACAUUCUACCAAAACGUAGAGAUCCAAGGCCUUCAACGACCGAGUCAACGGAAGAGAGCCGCCGAGCGAGAGGGAGGCGCUGCGGUUUCGGGAAAGAGACGGAGGCUAUUCGCCGGCGAAGAAGUUUCCCGGCGAAUAGAGAGAGGAAUAGUGAAAGGGAAGAGAGAGAGAGAGAACUAACAGACCGAGUCAACGGCGACUCGACGGCUCUGACGUGUGGACGACAGACCUCCACGAUAGCACAACGGCACGCCAGCCGACUGGUCCAAUUUGUCGUCGGUUUAUAGCAGCCCACUAAAAUUCUACUUGUUACUAAAAUUUAAGGGAUAGGAGUAGAUCUGUAGUUUAGUACAACAUGUACAGUACUUACACUAAACAACUACUUGUGUGCCCUUGCAUUAUGGAAUGAAAAUGCUCUUUCGAAGGAAGGCGCGCGCCAUAUAUAUAUACGGCGCUCUAAUCUAUCUAAGCAGUGCAUAACAACUUCACAACCUCCAAAACAACCACUACCGAUGGCGUCCAAUUCAUGUGAGGCUAGGCUAGAAGAGGCCAUCCCGGAAGCUACCGGAGGCGAUGAAUGUUUGGAAGGCAUGGAGCUUGCUGUAUACUAUGCCGCAAAACAAGGCGACAUUGAUGCCCUUUCAGAACAAAAAUAUAAGGAGCGUCUUCACGAAAUAUUGACUCCAACUGGAAACACAAUCCUCCAUAUCUACAUAGCAUGUGCAACGUCAACCGAUCGCAAAGAAGUGAGCAAUUCAGCCAUCGUCGUCGAGAAGAUUCUUGAUAUGUGUCCACUACUACUGCUGCAGUCCAACAAGAUCGGUGACACUGCAUUACACAUUGCGGCAAGAUACGGACGCACUGCUAUAGUUGAAAUGAUUUUGCAGAUUGGCAAAAAGAAUCGUGACGAAGGAGGAGGAGCUUGGCCGAGAAUCAUCAGCGAAACAAAUAAGGAGGGAAAUACAGCCUUGCACGAGGCCGUGCGGUUUAAUCACUUUGAUGUGGUGACGAAGUUGACCACACAAGAUGUUCAUGAGCAGAUUUUCUACUCGGCUAAUGUCGCCGGAGAGACUCCUCUAUACAUGGCUGCCGAAAGGGGAUAUCGUGAUUUGGUUUUUCAAAUCCUACACAGUUGCACAGAUCCAGCUUACCAAGGCCCCAAUGGUAGAACUGCUCUGCAUGCUGCAGUCAUACGCAACGAUCAAGGUUAGAGACUUUUCUAUUUCUUUUGAGAUUACAUAAAUUGGAAGACCACCACGAGUCCAUGAGUCCAAUUUCACGCUCGCCACUUACUUGAAAGUGUUUUAAACUUUCAUCUCAAAAAGAAAAAGAAAAAUAAGUGUUUUAAACUUACAUUAAUUAAUCCCUAUUUUUGUUGUCCGCCAAUCUUUCUAAUUAAUGAGCAUCGUAUAUUUGUUUUCAUCAUUUAAUAAAGUUUAUUGGUUAUAUUAAUUCACCAUUUAAAAUCUAAAAAAGUUAAAAUGGUAAAAUUAAUAAUGCAAUAGAUACUAUGAUUUGACAAUAUAUAUUGUGUUGAAUUGAAACCUAUAUUUUUAUUAUAAAGAAAUAUUUCUUCAUAUUAUUGCGGCCAUAAAUUUUAAGCCUCAUUGAGACGCCAUAUCACUGCUCAUAACCAAUAUCCCAUGUGCCACGUUAAUUAUAUAUAUUUUUGAUAUUGAUAAUGUUCUUAUUGUAAGUGGUUCCCACUUCUAAGUCACCAAGUAAGUACAUUGUCAAAAAGAAAAAACUUCCAAGUAAGUAAUUCCACACGAAUCACUGGUAUGGUAUUUAUUGUAGUGGAACAGUAAUUUUCUUAUAAAUUUGCCCACUGUUGAAAUGCACUUGGAAAAGAAAUUGUUAACACACGGUAGCUAGAUGUAAGAUGAAAGGGAAUUGUUGCUAGCUAGCUACUUGAGAAGUUCCUGUUAGUUGAUUAUAUCUAUUUAAUUAUUAAUUGUCUUUUUCUUUUUUGUGCAUGGUUAUUAAGAGAUGACGGAGAAGUUACUAGAACGUACAAGGGGUCUAACAAAAGCAGUAGAUGAACAAGGAUGCACUCCGCUUCACCUUGCUGCGUACUCGGGUCACACUUCAAUUGUGGAACUGUUACUCAAACAUGACAGAUCUGCUGCCUACGUUAAGGAGAAAGAUGAGAACAGAACAGCCCUUCACUUUGCAGCGUCCAAAGGACAUGGAGAUGUAAUAGCACAGCUAAUAUACCAUUGUCCUGAUUGUUGCGAAUUGGUGGACAAGAAAUCUCGCAAUUUCCUACACUGCGGUAUCCUCGCCGAUAAAGAAAUCAGUGUAGUGGAUUUCGUGCUAGACGAUCCAUGGCUUAGCAACAUCCUCCUAAAUGGCAAGGACGACAAUGGAGACACACCCCUCCACUACUUUGCUGAUACUAAUCACCUCCGUCUUUCUGGUGGCGCUUUAGCAACAGAUGCUAGAGUUGAUAAGACGGCAUUCAACAAAGCAAAUCAAAACGCUUUUGAUAUCCUUUUUCAAAAUAAAGGAGACUCUUAUUUCUCAACAACACAGGUUAUUUUUUCAUUUUAACUACUUUAAUCAACUAUGUAACCUAGUAAGUUGAAGUUAUUUAUAGUUUUCAAUAAAAAUACUAAUUAAUAAUACAUCUUAUAAUAUGUGUGUGACACAGGGCCAACUGAAAGACAAAUUAAAAAGGAAUGGUGUCAUACCAGGCUGUCGAAAUGUAAGGGACAAAGAGGAGGUACCGGUUGAGAAUAAAGAAAAGGAAAAAUCAAGUGAAGAAGAAUACAGUAAAAUCAAGGAUUCCAAUCUUCUAGUGGCUACACUUAUUGCAACUGUAAGUUUCGCAGCAGGUUUUACGAUGCCUGGUGGUUACCAAAGUGAUAAAGGAUCAGACCAAGGUUUUGCAAUUCUAGCCCGAAGUGCAGCUUUCCAAGCUUUUGUUAUAACAAAUACCAUAGCCAUGACCUUAUCUAGUUGCUCUGUCAUACUGCAUCUUUAUUCGAUUGGGUUUUUAAAGCGGAAAGUGUUUUCUGAGGCGUAUAUUUUUCUAUACGCGUUCACCAUGUUGGCUUUGAUUGCAAUGGUGAUUGCGUUUAUCACGGGCACAUAUGCAGUGUUGGGUCGUUCUUCAUGGCUUGGCAUUACGGUUUGUGUUCUUGGCUUCCUUCUAUUCUUUGUUUUAGCUGAAUUAUUGAUUAAUGAUGAAAGAGCAAUAAUGGAGGACCCUAUACGAUUGUUGCCUUUGAGUCUUUCAUCAGUAUUCUUCUUUUGGCUGGGGAUGAAGAUGUUUUAUGGUAUCCGCAAAUUAUAUUACAAAUGUCUCUGGCUGGUCUCCCCUGCAUCAAAAGGAAAGCGGUCAAAGCUCAUGGUUGCUACCCGUAGUACUUCCCUACUUCGUUAUGAGAUGGACAGACAAAUGAUUGUAUACAAUCGAUGUUAGGAAAGGAAAACUAUGUUAUAUUGGUAUGUAAUAUGCAAAGUCGUUAAUUACUUUGUUUUUCACAAGAAGAACAAGUUGUUUAUUUAUUUGAAUCUGAAAUAACAAACAAAUUUUAUCUUUUCCGGCGGAUUGUCAGGUACAAGUUAAUAUCCUUCUUGCUCAUGAGUUCUUUCACUCCCUGCAAAAUUAUGAGCUUAGCUUAAAACUUGUACAUGAAUAAAGCAUGAUAGAGUGGAGAUAUGGGCAUGCUUGAGAUAUGUGGCAUGCACUGAAAGUGAGACUGCCCAACUAUCUCGAGCAUCCCCACGCGUUCUUGCAAUUACAAAACCUUGGCCUUGGGAAAAUGCCACCAAAUGAGAUUACAACUAUAUCCUACUUCACUAAUCAAAGCAUAUCUGUGCGUUAAUCAACAGCAUCAAACCAAUUUCAAGAGACAACAUACAAUCAUGUAACUUGAGUGGUACAGCCAUCGUCACUUAGGUUUUCCAAUGGCUAUGAACAAGCAUCAUAAUGCUUGAAUUUGACCCCCAUACCCAUAAUUCUUCAAGAGCCCCUCAUCUUGCCGCCAAUUCUCUUUAACCUUCACCUCAACCUGUCAAAAGAAGGGACUUAAAAGAAUGAGCAAGUCUAGAAAAACUAUCAGAAUUAAAACAUAAUAAUUUGAACAGUGGUCAUGGGAUGAUGUGGCACCUCUAGAAAAACUUUUUUCUGUAAGAAAUCUUCUAUAUCAAGCCGUGAAGCUGUUGCAAGUAGUUUCAAAGCUCUCCCAUCCUACACCGGUUCAGUAUAGACAAUCAGUAAGCGAACUUUUGCUUCCAACUGUGAUGGCACAUCAAAGCUCUAUAGUUUCGCAAGAUACAUGCCUUUACGCACACAUGUUCCAGAGUAAGUCUUUGAUCAAGGUAUAACAGAGAUGUAUCUAUAGUGUGCAAAGCGCAUAUGAGCAUGUUAUUCCGUAAUAGCUAAUAAGUUUACAACCCUCCUAUAGCAAAAGGCUUCCAAAACUAAUAAUAAGAGCACUCUAUACAUCAGAUAGCCACAAAUUUCUAUCAAGCAAACCAACAAAUCCACAAUUAAGGAUUACUUACUUUUCCGAUAAGGAUGAUUUUCUGUGAAUUUUUCUCAACAACGAUUUCCACUUGUAUAAAAUCUUUUGCAGCUGGCCUACUUUUGUAGCUCACGACAUUCACCUGGAUGUUAAACCAAGUGAGGGUAAAGAUUAAAGCUACUAGAGAUACUACCAUCUUCUUUCCUUUAAUAUUUUGUUUUCUUCAUUCCUCACAAAUCAUAUCUUCUUAGCUUCUCAAUGACUCACCUGACAUGCAUAAGGAAUCUCUUUCCUGUAUUGCAUAAAGAUCUUUUCUCUCACAAUCUCUGAUACAAAAAAUCUCUCCGGGUGCUCACUUACGAUGUCCUGAGGAAGCAUACACAAGAAAAUCAGUACUUUUCCUCUGCAUUAUAUCACUUUCUCCCUCAAAUUUAAUUUUUACACUGUAUAAUUAUUUAUCUAAGACAUUUAUAUGAACACCCUACCCACCUCCCCAUCCUUUCACUACUUGAGCAGAUAAAAGGGUUCAUACUCUAGGAUAAAUCCAUUUCCUACAAUCACAAGUUUGCAGUUAAGAAAGAAAGGGAUAACAGGAUAAUGUGUAGAUAACUGAACUAGACAAGAAAGUUGGUGAUAGAGUUUUACAAAUAUCAAUUUAACUUAACCCCUCUGUUCAAACUUCAAACAUGAAAAAAGCAAAGUUGGAUAUUUGAAAGUUGUUAUUUCACUGGGAUACUGAGCAUGAAACUUUCCACACAUGCUCAAGGAACAGUUUCUCCAAAGUCAAACAGUAAUCGAGUUGUCUUCAGAAUUUAUUGAAGUUACUUGCAUAUAUCUAUUUUUGUAAUCCAUAACCCACAUUGUCCCUACUGGCCAAUUGGUGUUAAGGUAUUCAUACCUUUCUGCAAUUUCUAAUCUUACCAGUCAGAUAAACCAAGAUAAAAGGCUUGCAUAAAUAAGACAGGAACUACAAAAGUUCACUUCCCAAAAGUAAAAGAAAAGCCUAGAGCCCAAAACCUGACACUGUGAGUACCUUUGGAUAGUAAGCUGGGCCGAAGGGAAGUUUUGACAAUAUCCACUGCUUCACGUCUUCCACUCCCUGACCGUGUUUGGCACUCACUGGUAUGACCUCAUCAACAUUUGUAAACUUCUCAUACCACUGUAAAAUGUGAUACGUACUUAGUCUUAAAAACUCUACUGGAAUAACAAGAUCCAGAAUUACGUGCUAACAUAGAUAUCAACAAACAAUUACUAACCUCUACUUUCUUUGCAAUUUCACCUGGCUUUAUCAAAUCUUUCUUAUUCAUGACCAGCAAAGUCGGAGGCAGGCUAUCUGUCUGGUUACCCACACCUUCUUCCACCACUUCAUUAAUCUACCAAAAUAAGAGAGUGAUCUUAGGACAAGAGCACAAACUUUAACAUGAGAAACCUACAAAUGAAGAAGCAUACAUUUUCAGGCACUUUACAUGCAUCAACAAGAACAAGUACACAAUCCGCGUUAAUAACAGCGCUGCGCACGUUCUUCAUCAUCAUCGUAUCCAAUUUGUGCAUUUUCUUCUCAAUAACACCUGGUGUGUCAUAAAGUAUCAUCUGCAACCCAAUCCAUAAGUAAGAAACAGACGCAAUCGGUGAAAAUUCAGAAAACAUCCAGAAACUAUUGGUUCCAACAGAAACAUUUGACAAGCGGCAACUACAGAAGAAGCAGUUCUUAUUAACCAAUUAUCGAGUUCAAACACCCCCAACCGUCUUCCAUUUUUUGAAACAUUAGCAUAUGAACCAUUUACACUAUUCUCUUUUACCAAUUUAAACUCCACAUGUUACCGUAACAUUGUUUCCGAAAACAAAGAUAAUGACAGUAAUUUCAGCUAACAAUUCGAAAAUCAAACCUGAUAGUCUGAGCCAGAACAUAUACCAAGAAUUCUAUGCCUCGUAGUUUGCGGCUUAUCAGUAACAAUUGACAAUUUCUGACCCACCAUUUGGUUUGAGAGAGUGCUCUUUCCCACAUUGGGCUUCCCCAGAACAGCCACAUACCCUGCAUCAAUUUUACUCAACGGUCAAAAUUCAAAGUAAAAAAAGCUGAUAAACUGGUUAAAAUCAAAGAGAGAUUUUACCACUCCUAUGGUUAGGGUCAGUAGCAUAGUCAAGCUCCUCCAGCUCGUAGUCAUCUAGCAAAGCCAUGUUCCUGUCCGGCUUCUCACUCAGAGACAACAGCGCGGAGUCUUCGUCGGAAUAGGAGUACUCCGAGUCGUCUUCUUCUUGCUCGGCGAUCCAGAGCGGUGGUUUUGCGGCGGAGGAGAGUUUCCACGUGGCGAUUGUGGUUGGAAUUCUGGCGUGGAAUUUGGGUUUUCUAGUGGGACGAGGGAAGCGGUUGUUGUGGUGGUGGUGGUUUUGGGUAGUGAGGAAUUUGGAAUUGGAGUAAUGGGAGAGGGAAUAGUCUCUGGGGAGAGUUGCGGACCUGUGCAGAGCUAGCUCCAUUUUUGGAGCGCUUCAGUGUUUUCUGAUGAGUCUCUUCAGCCCUGUUUUGGAUAAACCUCUACCCCACGACGUCGUUUUAGGAGUUGUUAUUUUCCCUCUCUAUCAUAUUAUAUUGAAAUUUUUAAAAAAAAAAAAAUCAAAACUUGUUAACUUACACCCCGCACCCACGUAGCUAGGUAGGUGAACGAGAUUUGAACCUAUUACCUCAAUAUUAUCGGUUAAAUUAACUAACCAACUAAGCAACAUGUCACCAAAAAUCAUUUUUAGGCUACAACUUUCUCAGUAUGACUUGUUAUGGUGAGUUGAACGGUGGAUGGAGUUGCAAUGGUGUCAUGCCGACUGGAACCAGGCAAGGGAUAGGGAAGAGGUGUGUGGCAAGUCGUUUUUAGUUUCUUGUUUUGUAAGGUUUUGGUUUGGUUUGUUUGGUCAAUUGUUCGUCCCUACUCUGCUGAGCUGAGGUUAGGUCAAGUUGAGGUGCCAUGGAAGUUGUUAUUCCUAGGGAGAAAUUGGUUUAGUUUCGAUGUUAAUCUUUUGGUCAAUGUGCUGACGAGCGAUCCUUGCACAAGUAUGUUUGGGACACAAUGUGGAAGAUGGUCUCGAUUUAUUUGACAGUUGUCUACGAGGAGGUAUCAAGAUUCUCUGUAGCCCGAGAAUAUAAAUAGUUAAGGGUUUGGUCCUUUUGGCUCAUGAAAUAUAUAAUUCGGUUAGACACCGCUCAUUUAAUGUCAUAUAAAUCUUACCUGAUUCAAUAAAGGUUUCUUGUUCUAAAAGAAAAUGAAAGAUAACAUAAAGGAAAACGGUUUGCGCCAUCUGCUUUACCAAAAUUGAUACUUACAUUUUUGAUAGUUUCAUAUAACAAAUUCUAGUUAACUCAUGAUCUUAAUUACAUUGUAAAACUAAAAUUUGUAUAACAUAUCAAAAAUUCAGGACCUUUGAAGAUCUGGGAGUAGGGAUAAGGACAAGUGAGCACAACAGCAGUUUUCUAACAGAUUUUAAUUGAGUUUCACCUUCAAAUUUUGGUAGUUUUGACAAACAAAAUGACUUUUGAGAAACCUUUGUUGGUAUACUUGAUAAACUAGAGGCUCAAUGAAAUAAUCCAUGCAGAGAACACAAACAACAGAAGGAAUGACAGGCAGAAAACUUGAAGAUUUACUGAAAAAUACACUUGAAUAAUUGAGAGACACAUCAAAGGCAAGUUUACAUGCUAGGAGAAGAGGUACUGAACACAAUGAGUAUAUAUAACAACAGAGAUACAGGAAAAAAAAAAACAAAUAUAUUACAACACCAAUUGGCUAUUCGUAACCCAGGUAGCUAACUAAUUCCACUCUAAAAACAAGAGGUACCCUUAGAACAUCUAGCUUCUUCACUUGUUUCAGCCAUGAUUCGGCUCCAACAGGGUCAGUUGUUCUAGAAAAAUUAGGAGGAUUUAGUCAUUGGAACCUUGAGGUGAUUCACUCUCCUAUCAAGUUGUUGCUUCUCUUGGUCAUCACAGUAACCCUCAUCAGAACUUGAAGCAUUUGACAUCGUCAGGGACUCAGGGUCAGAAGAUGCAUAGCAAAACAUGGUUUCAUACUAACAAAAAAGUAACUAGACUAUCAAAACUCCUAGACAACCUCAGUAGAUCUGCUCCCUGGCCUCUAAUACCAUUUUAAGUCGCACUUGACACCCCAAGUUAUGGGGUGAGACAACACCCCAAGCGAAACUUUCUCAAGUUAUUGCCAAAAGAGUCCAUAUUGUAGAUGAAAAUAAACUGUCUACCGAAUUAGCAUAUUAUCCCUCCGUGUAGAUUAGUGUCAUAGCCAUCUAGGAAACAGAAAACCAGUUUUCAACAUGCAUCACAGUUGAUUUGCAAAGUUUUCAUCUUAUAGGUCCAUGUAUUCAGGAACUAUCAGUUAGUAACUUCGUAGUGUUUCAAAUGUCAGCUUGAUAGGAAUGAAGAUAAACUGUAAGAGAUUGCUACUUUGUUAGACAGUUCUAGAUUGAUCAGCAUAUUUUAGUUGACUUUUCAAACCAGAAGAAUAAACUUACAUAGGAGCCCUGACUGUUCAUAGCUUAAAUCUGAGAUUCGUCCUCCAUUGCCAGCAAAACCAUACUGUACCUGGAGAUCAUUCUACCAUGAAAACUAGGAUACAACUUCAGUUAGAGAACGUGUCUACUUCUCCCUAACCUCAUUGUUGUGAAGAUACUGACUUCAUUUAUAUAAAAUAUUGUUGUGCAGAGUGCAGACACUGACUUCAUUAAUGUAUAUUGUACAGGUUUCAUAAAUAGUAUAAACUGCAAUCAUCAAAAGGUACUCCAGACAAUACAUACAUAUAGCAGACAGAAAACACAUAGGUCAUCUUUAAGUCAGACAUAUAUUUGCAGUACCUAAUGAUCUGAUAUGCCCUUGAUACCUAUUAGAUUUGAUCCUAGAUACCUAAUUGUUGGAAUCUAAGUGAUAUUUUGACAGUCAUCAGUAGUGCUUGAUCUGCGAUCAAAAUAUUUUACUAACAACAGCACCCUAAGUUUUCGUCCUUAAGCACUUAUUAUUGUUAUAUUCAUAUGGGACACACGAAAUCCAGUAGUAGAAUUGAUGCAAUUACUGUCGAGAUCCUGACAAAGGAUUACAGACCAGAAUCAUAGUGGUCGCUGUCAAAAAGGGGCCACUGAUAACCAUCGGGGAGUGAUAAUACCUAUUCUAUUAUGUCUGAAAUAGGUAACGUUCAGGACAGUAAUGAGCAUCUGAGGAAUCAAGUUCCACUGAUCAAGACUUAGGAAUCUACACUAUCCCAGAUGAAAGUUUAUCAAGAUCAAUCUUUUGUAUGUUUCUUGUGGAAACUUGAUUAUGAAAACAAACAAAAAACCACGGAAAAUUUAGAAAGAACCACUGCAAUCGGUAAGUAGAACUUUCUAAUACAAAGCAUAAUUCGACUACAAAGUACAAACAAACUGACAAUCCUGAAAGAGCCACUGUUAUAAAUAGAUAGGUAUUUCUAAUAGAUAGCACAACUUACAUGGCGACAGCAGCAUAACAUGUAGAUACGAUGCUCACACACAAGCUAGAGUCUCCAUAUAAGGAAAAGUAACAUAGUCUUGAAUACCAUGAUUAUCACCGAAAGCUAGAUGAAGUUUCUCAUCGGCUAACUCAACAGAUGUCUUGAAGGUCUCAUUCCUCAGAUUAUAGGAUAUGAUCUUACCAGGCAGGUGCAACAAAAGAUGAGUUGAACUAUCCUCCUCAACCCCAUUCUCUGGAAAAAGACCCAAGACAACAAAAGCAUUCCAAUCCAGUCCAGGAAAAGCUGCCACUAGCGGAUUAAGAUCAACAUGAUACUUGACAAACCAGCCAGAGUAGUCUCUCUCCAUCUCCAUCACAUCAAAUUGGGUGUUCCAAUGCUGGUAAGUCUCGAUCAAAUACAAAUGGCCAGCCGACUCCCCAAAAUAUCUUUGCCUCAAUCUCGGCCAUGUAGCAGUAAUGUUUUUGACAAGCAAGGGAAGAGGAGGAGUACUAGACACGAGUCCCAAUCGUUCUUCAGCUAAGUCAAAGUAGUGGGAUACAUCAGUCUCUCGUCUGAGAAACUCAUCAUCACGAGACAGCAGUGAUGCAUAAUGACUGUGUCUAAUCCAAUGAAGUAUGCCAUUGCAGAAAACCGCGCUUUCGCUGCUCCUCGCAUCAAACUGCAUGGCCAUCUCCUUGAAAUCAUAGUGUAUAGACCACCUUGUAAUGAGGCGAUUUGGAAGGAUCGUAAGCCAAACCAUAACGUACAAAAUCAGCAAAACGUACAAAAUCAUAUAUGUCCUCGUCUUGAAUGUUUGGAGAAGAAAGAGCUCGGAAUUGGUUGGUUGAAGGAUUGACGACAUAUACGGGAUGAUGUUCACCGUAUAUGGGAACAUGGCAGAGAAAGAGGCCAUUGCAGGACUGAAGAAUCCUCAAAUUAGGGACGGAAUUGGUAAGGGUUUUGAAGGGAUUAGGUGGGAUUUCAGGAGGGAUGGACUUGAAGGACUCGUCGAAAAAGCGGAGAUUUUGGGGUUAGGGUUUUGGAGCGUGUGGCGGCGACGGAAGUCGGGGUCGGAGAUGAGAGAGAGCCAUUGCUUGGAGACGCACUUGAAGCGGAUCAGAGACAGAGCCGGCAACCUCAGCAGGACUUGCUUGAGAAGAUCUUCGAUGUUCGCGACGGUUUCUGCUGAAGAGGGUGACAUUUUCAUCUCUCAAUUUGGGUUUUUCAUUCCAAUUCCUAAACCUUUGCUUCUCCUGUUAUAUAAAGGAGUGAAAUAAUGUAACGACAUGUCGUUCAUUCCAAUGUUCAUACUUCAUAAGUUCAUAGAGACUGACCUGUGAUCAGUUCAUGCACUCAUUUUUUUUAAAAGAUUCGGAAACGAAGAAGGGGUUGGAUUACUUUACCCUAAGGUAAUAUGGGUAAACACUUCAAAACAUACUUGAGCUGUAAUGUAAGGUUUAAACAACAAUGACUGAUCCUAUUUCAUGAUCUAUAGCAUUUCCAAAAUGCAUGUAUCGAGCAAAACUUAGAAUUAUUUUUUCGGUUCUGUACAUCCUCCUCAGAUCACAGGAAAUCUAACUGAUAAAAGAUCAAGAGAAUGCUAUCCACAAGGUGUGUAGCAUGUAAGACCUCUUAUUCUCUAUGGCAUACUAUCAACAGUUACCACAUGGAACAAUUUCAUUUAUCACUCCCGGAAGCCUCAGAAUGGUAGGUCGGAGAUCCUCUUCCAGAUGGAUAAUAGGAGUAUGCCAAGGCUGCUGUACCAAGUGUGAGGGCAGUAGCAAUCGAGCCCCAGACCCACCUUUGUCGUUUUGCCUUCUUCUCCCUGUCACGCCGCGCCAGCUCUACAUUAAAACAAACAUCAUUAGAGCUGAAAUAAGUUUCCAAAGGGAGAAAGAUUCAACAGGACAUAAACUGGUUCAAAAAGAGUAGUAGAAAUAUACACCCAGUACUCAUACAUAGAGCACUAUAUGUUACACCUAUCCAUCUAAUGCAAUUUUAGCAGUACGGAGAUAACUGUCAAAAAUGAUUUGAUAAGGAAGCAAGCUUUCCAGUUGCAUUCCCCUUGAAGGGCUGGGUUGUUCCAUUAUUGCUACUUUCAUAUUCUAACCUAAUAUUGACUUCAAAUAGAACUUAUAACUUGCUAAAGAGUUGGUACAAGGUAUAGAAAUCUCACCGAUGACAUCCUGAUUCCUCUGGACCAUUUCCUGAUUCAUAGCUUCAUAAUUAUGAAGCUUGUCGCACAACCUAGCAAUCUCAAAGUUCUUCGCCUCAAUCUGAUCUUCCAACUCUGCCUCCAUCUCUGCCCUUGCUAUGGCCCUCCCGAUAGAAUUUGAUACAAACCUAGCAAGAUAAAGCUGUUGCCCCAACUCUCCCACAGGAUCAGAACCUAGCUGCUCAUGGUCUGUUGUAACAGUGGGAUCUGCAGGAAGAGUCAAUCCUACAAGAGAUAACUGUUCCCUGAUCCUCUGCCACUGGUUCCGCAAGUUAUUCAAGGAUUCCUCAGCUUGCUUCCGCUUUUCUAUCUCCAUCACAAGACUCAAUCUCAUCUCACGUAGCUCAGUUUCAAGAUCACAACCCGAAAGCUGUUGGCUAUGACCACCCUCAGAUGAAAGUUCUAUACAAAAUAAGAAUAAAUGUAAGCUUUCAUUACUGCUGAAAGAGACUAUAAAAGACACAUAUGCAGACUAUGAAAAACUGAGAUCUUUCUUUCUCAGAGGAAAAAAAAAAAAAAAAACUAAUAAGUCCAAAAUGACAAAUUCUCAAAAUCUACAAGUCAUAAUUAAACUUCUGAAUGGGACAAACAAGAUAGGAUUUGCAUCCAUAGGUUAGCAAAUAUCAUGCAGAGGGUAUAUAAAUAUAUUUUCUUUACAUAAUCUUUUCAACAUUGAAACAGUUGAAUAUUUCUUUGUGAAACAAGUGUUUUCAUGCCUUUAAUUAGAACUAGCCACUUGCUAGUACUCUGAAGCAUAGUGCAACAUUUAUGAGAAACAGACGCUGGGAUUUCAAUUAUAGACAAGCCAUUGAACUCAAUAUAAAUUGAAAAAGUUAGUAUCAACGUUUAAAACAACACAAUGUAACACCUUUACUUAACAAGAUUAAUAAUUAAUAUGAACUAUUUUAGAAAGGCCAAGUUAAAGUUGCCUUAGUAACAUAAAUCCAUUACUUGGCAUAUAUAACUAACUUUAACGAGGCAAGCAUGUUCAACUGCUAUCAUUUGAAGAAAAUGUACGGUCAACUGGAGUGCAAUUUGUUUUAUAAGCAGUACGACGGUAAUAACUUUGGUAUGAAACAAAAGGAUCUUAGUGUGAAGUUUUUUGUUCAUGACAUGUAUGUCAGGUUCUCAAUUUCAACACGAGACAGUUGGUAAAUAGUCAAGUCAUUUUCAACUUCUGUUCAAACAUCUAAUAAAUUAAGUAAAUACAUCCAGAUUAAGUUCGCUAGUGCUUGAACAGAUAAAUAGAUGAUAUGUCGAAAGGAGAUAUCACAAGCAAAAAAAGAUGCUUCAACUUCAGAAAGAGCAACACACCAGAAAAUUACACCACAUACUACUUAACUGAAGACACCAACUCUGGUAAUGCAAUAGGACUAUUCAAUCUUUAACCAUGAUAUGCAGUACUUGUCAAGAAAAAAAAAACAUGAUAUGCAGUAACUUGGAUUAAUGUAACAAACAAGAGGAAGGAAAGUCCAAAAGACUUGAUGGGGAAAAAAACACAAAGAAAAACAAAGUUAAAGCCAAAUACCUUCCCAGGCAUCAUAAAACUCCCCAGCAGGUAUACCAAUAGGCACAGAACGCUCUGCCCCAGCAUUUCCCUCUCCAUCUGUGUUACUUGUGACACUCAUGUUAUCUUUUGGAUCAAAGAAAUCAUCACGAUCACUUUCGGAAGCCAUGGCACCUUGCUGGAACAAAUCAUCUUCCCUGGCUGAACCAUUAGUCAUACUACUAGUACCCAAUUCAACAUCACUGCUCCUAGGUACCCCAUUACUGGUCUCAAGGUUCCCAUUGCUGCUACCAAUAGGAUGGACACCAUUUGAAUGUUGUACUUGACUUGGCUUGGGUACGGUAAAAGUAAGUGAAUCAUCCACUGGAGAAGUUUCCGCCUUGGCCUCAAUGUCGGUGGUGCCAUUCAGUUUCUCUUUGUCUCCAGAUUUCUGGUGCAAGGAACCAUUCAGUUUCCCUUCAUCUCCAGAUUUCUGGUGUAACGAAACAUCCUGCUCCGAGUAACUCUUGAGAAGGCGUGGGCCACGGCGCUUGUGGUUGACAAUGUAAGGUGAUGAGGGAGGGAAAGAAGUGGGUGAAUCCGGUAGUGGAGUUGUCUCAGGAGUGGCAUAUAGUGCUGGCCUUAUUGGAGGUCGACGAGGCUUCCUCUCCAUAACCGAGGUGCUCUUCCUCCCCUCCAUAACCGAGGUACUAUUCCUCCUCUCCAGCUUCAUGGGUCCCUCAGGAACAGGCAUCGAAUGUGAAACAGGCUUGGGAAUAGGAACAGACACAUCGGCAGAUUUGGAAGAAGCACCAGAAUUAGGAACAGACAUGUCGGCAGAUUUGGAAGAAGCUCCAGCUUCUAAUAACCUAUCUAAAGCUAUGACAGAGAAAGUCGGCAUUUCUGCAGUAUCAAACAACCAAUAUUAGCAACAAAACCUUAACUCCUUCAACCAAUUCAGUAAACCGAAAACCAAACACUUCCAACACAUUCAUUUACCACAAAACUAGUGAAAACAUUCAAGUUCUGAUAACCUCUCUAAAAGCAUUUUCAACUCUCCUAACCUUCACCACACACCGAAAUUAACAACCAGUAAUCCUAAUACCAAACAUCUCCACUUUACUCCUUUAAUUACAAUCAGCAAAACAGCUAUACAUCAUCAACCAGCCAAAAUUAACACCAAAACCCAAACAACCAAACAUGCAGAAUCAUUUCAAUCUUAACUUUGAUAUAAAAAGUAAAAACCUCCAGGCUCUAACAACCUAAAUCAACAAGAAAACCCUACCUAACAAGCUCACUCAAUUCAUUUCAAUUUCUACAAAGUAAAAACCCUACGUAUUACAAACUACAAUAAAAAGAAAAUCGAAUCUGUACGAGACCUAAGGCCUUGUUUGGCCGCCGAGAAAUAACAAACAGCCACAGAAUCCAAGCUUCCAAGCGUCGCGGAACGCAGAAU